UAACAAGGUUUCCGUAGGUGAACCUGCGGAAGGAUCAUUGUCGAGUUCCGUGCAGAUAAAUGACCCGCGAACGAGUUAUUAACCAAGAGCCGGGCCAGUGCCUGACCGUCCUCGGUUGACGCACGAUCCCGGCACCCAAAACGUACCCCCGGCGCGGAAUGCGCCAAGGAACAUGAACAAGAGGGACGCGUGAACCCCGCAAUUCCCCCUAGAGGGGAAGCCGGGGCGACCGUGCUGUCUCAAGAGUUAACAUAAAAACGACUCUCGGCAACGGAUAUCUCGGCUCUCGCAUCGAUGAAGAACGUAGCGAAAUGCGAUACUUGGUGUGAAUUGCAGAAUCCCGUGAACCAUCGAGUCUUUGAACGCAAGUUGCGCCCGAAGCCUUCUGGCCGAGGGCACGUCUGCCUGGGUGUCACGCGACAAGCCGCCCCUAAAAUCGUAGUUCGAGCUGCGAUUGGGUGCGGAAGUUGGCCUCCCGUUGCUCCGAUGCUGCGGCUGGCCCAAAAGCGAGCAGUGGAGCGGCGUACUCCGCGACGCGCGGUGGUGCUGAAAAAUUGCCCCUCGGGCAUCGAGUCCGGACCGUCUCUCCAGCGUUGCUCUGCGGCCUUCAAAAAAAGAAAACACAAGCGACCCCAGGUCAGGCGGGGCUACCCGCUGAGUUUAAGCAUAUCAAUAAG
This 677-nucleotide ribosomal RNA is filed under the name Ammannia mossambicensis. RNAcentral's name for it is "eukaryotic LSU rRNA". The stretch from base 260 to 415 matches the Rfam family "5.8S ribosomal RNA". The record is from RNAcentral. Lineage: Eukaryota; Viridiplantae; Streptophyta; Magnoliopsida; Myrtales; Lythraceae.